RNAcentral lists this transfer RNA (74 nucleotides) under Mucilaginibacter achroorhodeus. RNAcentral describes it as "Mucilaginibacter sp. MJ1a tRNA-Cys". It matches the Rfam family "tRNA". From Rfam's summary of the family: Transfer RNA (tRNA) molecules are approximately 80 nucleotides in length. The record is from RNAcentral. Lineage: Bacteria; Pseudomonadati; Bacteroidota; Sphingobacteriia; Sphingobacteriales; Sphingobacteriaceae.
GGUUAGGUGGCCGAGAGGCGAGGCACGGGUCUGCAACACCUGUUACAGCGGUUCAAAUCCGCUUCUAACCUCUA